This 258-nucleotide unclassified non-coding RNA is filed under the name uncultured Actinomycetes bacterium. Its description in RNAcentral is "uncultured actinobacterium partial contains 16S ribosomal RNA, intergenic spacer and 23S ribosomal RNA". The record is from RNAcentral. Lineage: Bacteria; Bacillati; Actinomycetota; Actinomycetes.
UGCGGCUGGAUCCCCUCCUUUCUAGGGAUGCCGGAGCUCUUACUCCGGCAGGCGCCGGUCCCGUUAGAUGGCCUCGGCCGUCCGGCUAACCGGCUCGCCUGGAACAAAGUCGAUCUCGACGCAUGUACUACGUACGCUGUUGAGUUUUGAAGGACUGGGCGCUCGGGCCCGCGUGGACCUUGAAAACUCCAUAGCGACAUCUAUACCGGUGUUUUUUUGAUCAAGAGAAACAAGGGCACACCGGUGGAUGCCUUGGCA